RNAcentral lists this ribosomal RNA (266 nucleotides) under uncultured bacterium. RNAcentral's name for it is "partial 16S ribosomal RNA". It matches the Rfam family "Bacterial small subunit ribosomal RNA", at positions 524 to 792 of the family's 1533-position model. The record is from RNAcentral.
GACAGAGGGUGCAAACGUUGCUCGGAAUCACUGGGCGUAAAGGGCGUGUAGGCGGGACGGUAAGUCGGGCGUGAAAUCCCUAGGCUCAACCUAGGAACUGCACUCGAAACUACCAUUCUUGAGUGUCGGAGAGGAAAGCGGAAUUCCUGGUGUAGAGGUGAAAUUCGUAGAUAUCAGGAGGAACACCAGUGGCGAAGGCGGCCCGCUGGGCAGUGGCUGACGCUGAGGCGCGACAGCGUGGGGAGCAACAGGAUUAGAACCGAGUA